Non-coding RNA from Bacillus pumilus S-1, 80 nucleotides. The record is from Rfam. NCBI's taxonomy places the organism in Bacteria, Bacillati, Bacillota, Bacilli, Caryophanales, Bacillaceae.
GGGCUCUCUAAAAAAGAGUACGUAAAGAUACGUUCAUUUACGCUCCCUUUCAUUUAUUUGAAAGGGAGCUUUCUUAUUUU